RNAcentral lists this ribosomal RNA (253 nucleotides) under uncultured bacterium. Its description in RNAcentral is "partial 16S ribosomal RNA". It matches the Rfam family "Bacterial small subunit ribosomal RNA", at positions 524 to 776 of the family's 1533-position model. The record is from RNAcentral.
UACGUAGGGUGCGAGCGUUGUUCGGAAUUACUGGGCGUAAAGCGCGUGUAGGCGGCCCUGCAAGUCGGGUGUGAAAUCCCCCGGCUUAACCUGGGAACUGCGUCUGAUACUGGAAGGCUUGAGUAUGGGAGAGGGAUGUAGAAUUCCAGGUGUAGCGGUGAAAUGCGUAGAUAUCUGGAGGAAUACCGGUGGCGAAGGCGGCAUCCUGGACCAUUACUGACGCUGAGGCGCGAAAGCUAGGGGAGCAAACGGG